Magnolia sinica is the source of this 610-nucleotide long non-coding RNA. RefSeq lists it as uncharacterized. NCBI's taxonomy places the organism in Eukaryota, Viridiplantae, Streptophyta, Magnoliopsida, Magnoliales, Magnoliaceae. The record is from RefSeq and is a predicted model, not a curated record. The transcript is spliced from 2 exons.
UUCCCCUUGCAUCUAUUGAUGUACAAACUAACUGGUUGGUGCAAAGAACAAUCGGAAUACAUCCAGUGGAAUUGAAGGUUUGCCUGCAACAAGCCAUCAGUAGAUACUCAUCAACAGAAAUGACAGAUCACAUAAUCUGACAACUUCGCCAAUGACAAACCAUCGCACAAUCACAUCCCAACCAUCCAGUUCAAACGGAUUUUACCUUUCAUACAAAAAUCCAAGAAUGAGAUAUUUGUUACAGGAGAUUUGGGUUUUUUUUAUAAUUAAAAAAAGAAAUGCAAAACCUGAAAUCCUUAGCUGAUCAAGUACGGGGAAAUGGUUGGGGAUCUCUGCAAUGGAAAAUGCAAAAGCCAAUUCUGAAAGGGGCUGCAAAUGAGCUGCGUGAGGGUGCAAAGUCUAAUAUUUAACAUGAUCCCUAAUGAACUGCUCCAACUGAGAUAUCUCGCCCGUCAAACCUGAGGCUUCUGCGACUGUCACCCUGUUAAGACACUGUGAGAAUGCAAAGGGCUCUCCAGUCACACCGAGUGUGAAUUCAUCUGCUAUAUCAGCUUCUGACGCACCGGUUCUCGACACCCGAAGCUUGUCUCUACAACAACAACAACAACAA